AAAGGCAAAAGAAAACCAGAUGCAAGGAAUCAAGAACAAGUGGAUAAGUGAACUAGAUUAACAAGAAGCACUGCAACAUUGCAAGGCAUCCACAUUUUAAGUAAAAAAUCAGUGAGUAGACGUUUGUCACCUAACAAAGGAAGAAAGAAUAUGAUGGUGAUUAAGUCCACGGCAAAAAAGAAGGAUAUAGAGAAAGAUUCCCAAGUUCUACAAAGAGCCACAAACAAGGAUGCCAAGUUUCAAUUUCAUCAAGUGCAAUAGGUCGAUCAACUGUUUGGCAUCUCAAAUAAUGUCCAACGUCAUCACAAAUCCAGUUCAAGAAUGCAGCAAAAAAGAGGACCAGUAUGAGCUACCACCAGGUUGCCAACAACAAUGAUGGAUUGAUACUGUUAUGGAACAUGUACAUUUGGUGUUAACUUCAGCAUAUAUACAGCCUUUGUUGGCUUCUUUUGAAAUUUCUUUGCACAUUCCACAACCGGUGUUAAUUUCUGCACAUGUACAGCCUUGGUUGGCUUCUUAUGAAUGUCCUUUGAACAUUACAAAACAAUGCCUUAGAUCAAUGAAAUUAAAGUUCCAGUUUUUGUUGCCCAAGUUUCAAUUUCUGUUGCCAUUAUUCCAGUGCAUGAUUAUUUUCAAUUCCAUAUAUCUUAUUUGCAAUUGCACAGGUAUAUUAAGGAAACUAACAACAAGAGUUGCAGACUUACACAGGGACAAACUUACAUUUUCAUUCAUAAACAAUACUUACAUUUACAACUAAAUUGGCCAUAAUACAACUUUUUCCAAAACUAACAUUAGCCAACAUAGAGUAAACUAAAAACAUGCUCGUCUACUCUUCUUCCUUGUUUUUCACAUCAUACUGUACACUGAAAAACAGCAAAUACACAAAUCCCCACAUCACUUUCUCCUUUUUUUUUCUUUUGUUUUUUGUUCGUCUUCGAGCAUGUUUAUCCUUCGAAUCAAUCCUAGGAUGAUUUGUCGCGACCGCUCACACAUUGGAG
Sesamum indicum (sesame) is the source of this 998-nucleotide non-coding RNA. Lineage: Eukaryota; Viridiplantae; Streptophyta; Magnoliopsida; Lamiales; Pedaliaceae. The record is from RefSeq and is a predicted model, not a curated record.